GUGCGCCACGGCGACCUGACCGAACCUGUAGCCCGCCAGGAACGGCUGCACGUUCCGCAGGGACGCGGCGGCGCCGGCGGUGGAGUAGCGCACGUGCCCGAUGGCGGCGGGGCCGGGGAGCGAGGCGAGCCUGGACGGGUCGCCGAACACGUCGGCGACGAGCCCCAGCCCGGUCACCGACUUGAGCUUGCCGUCGCCCCCGGCGGCGACGAUCCCGGCGCCCUCCUCCCCGCGGUGCUGCAGUUUCUGCAGGCCCAGGUAGCAGAGCGAGGAGGCGUCCGGGUGGCCCACGACCCCCACCAGGCCGCACUCCUCGCGCGGGUGGUCGUCGGAUUCGUCGUCCGCCCCGUAGGAGAACGGGGUCACGCGGUCCGGCAGGAGCGCCGCCCCGGCUGGCGGCGAAAGGCGGCGGCGCAGAGCGAGUGGGGACGGAUUGGGGGCGUGCCUGAGCCGCUGCUGGUGGUGGUGGUGGCUGUGGCGCUUGGAGCCGGAGGUGGCGUGGCGGUGAUGGAGGAGGCGCGACGUGGACGGGGCGGUGGCGGCGGCGGCCAUUCCCAUUCUUGGGCGGCUGAUGGGGGGAGGGGAUUGCUGGCGGCGGCGGCGGCGGCGGCGGCGAGGGCUUUGGGGGGAUGCCCCUCCGAGUGCGGGUCAAGGGGCGGGAUUUUAAAGGGGUUUGGUCGGCUCGUGUCCGCCGUAGGAUGCGAUGUACAACCUGAUACUGAGUGGUGGGGACUGAGGUGUCGAGUAUCGAGCACUCGAGAGCGUUGGAGUUGGACCAGUGAAGCAAUCGCGGGUCAAGUGGCGCCGUAUGGUCCAUUUUCUAAUUCAUCCACUUGA
RNAcentral lists this ribosomal RNA (837 nucleotides) under Triticum aestivum (bread wheat). RNAcentral's name for it is "partial small subunit ribosomal RNA". The record is from RNAcentral. Lineage: Eukaryota; Viridiplantae; Streptophyta; Magnoliopsida; Poales; Poaceae.